Molecule: small nuclear RNA, 105 nt
Organism: Mastomys coucha (southern multimammate mouse)
Lineage: Eukaryota; Metazoa; Chordata; Mammalia; Rodentia; Muridae
Source: RefSeq, a predicted model, not a curated record
UUGCUUCUUAGGCAGCACAUAUACUAAACUUAGGACCAUACAGAGAAGAUUAGCAUGACCCUGUGCAAGGAUGACAUGCACAUUCAUGAAGCGUUCCAUAUUUUU